GUCUGUUACCAGUUUCAGCUCUUCGCCUGUUUAUUCAGAAAGUAUUUGGUGGGAAGAGAAUUCAGAAAAAAACUAAUGAGUUUCUGAAGUUUCAGGUGAGUUUACUUUGUAAUUGGCAACUUUAAUGAAGAUUGUUGGUUAGAUAUUUGACUCAUUGUGACUGAAUAAAAUCUUUCAAUGAUUUUCCAUAUGAGUACACUCACCAGAAAAAGUCCCUGAAAGAUUGGAUGUACAGUCAUGUGGUUCAGAAUAUAGAGACAUUUUAGCGAGGCCCCUCCUCUCCCACUAGGAGACAGAAUCUUGGACAAGAUUUAAAACAUCUGUCCCCUCUCCUGAUUGACUUCCCUUCCCUUUGAUGCAUUGGCUGAAGUUCUACAUAAGAAAAUUGCUAGUUAACAAGGAUCUUGCUUUGAGAUGGUAGAUAUUUCUAGAAGGGUUGUGGCCUAUCAGUCAUUUACACUUGAAUGUGAAUUUUCUCCAAAUGGCUUUCUCACAGAAGGUUAGCUGAGAUGAUGUCCUACACUAAACAAGUAGGUUUUGAUAGGAGAGAAAGGGAGAAAACAGAAUUUUGAGCAAUCAGAAAGGAAGAGUAGACCAGAGAAAUAUUGCAACAGAUGCUUUAGGUGGCAGGAAGACCCCAGAGGACCUCUUCUCCACAACUUGGAGAGUAUGUAGGGCAGGCAUAAAGGGAGGAUGUCAGAACCAAACUUGGCUUAGAAUUGGUUCAGAUUCCAUGCUGGAGGACAGGUCCUCCUGUGCUUAAGUGGGCUUUGUCAAGAUUCUUCAUAAAACCCAGUACAUUGUGUAAGGGAGGUAAUUUGCAAAGCUACUAGAGAGUGAGAUUUCCUAAUUUCCUUUCAAGUUUCAUGGGAGAGGGAUUUGAGAGUUGUGCCUUUAGUGGAGAGAGAGAAGAACCAAGUCUCUAGUACAAUGAAAGUAGUAGAGAAUCUCACUUUCAGAAUCUGAUGUAUGUCAGAGGCCAUGAAAUUAAAAAACAAACAAACAAACAAAAAAACUGGUAAUCAGCAGCAGAAUGGACUUAGAGAAAACCGAUUGCCCCUCUCCUCUCAUGAGACCUGGCCAGAAUCAAGUGUUUGAUCACCUUUAAUUUUCUGUCAGCUCUGAAAAACUUCAUCUCAGGGAACAGGAGAAAAGGAACAAGGAGUGCCCGUAUAAUACAUGAUAUACAGUCGGGAGAAUGACUCAGGAAAGUCCUCCUUGAUUAUUUUCGCAAAAUUUUGAGGAGGGGAGAGUCAAGCAUGGCAUAUAGGACAGUAAAAGUGAUCCAGGUCAGAGAAGUGAAGGGUCAUUUCCCUUCACUUGGGGAUUGAAAUUUGUCAGUCCCCAUCUAGGAUUGUCAAGGGAGAUUGCGUACCACUAAUUUUGUGACCAGUUAAUUUCCCUAGGCCUUAGUUUUCUCCUGCUUUAAAAGAGGGUAUUGAACCAGACAAACUCCAAGAUGCCUUUCAGUGCUUAAAUUAUAUGAUUCUAGGAUGAUUAAUGUUAUAAUACAUUCUUUGGCAACAUCUGCAUCUAUUUAAGCCCAUAAAUGUUGAGAAGAAAUAUUUGGUAUGCAGUAAACCAGGAAGCAGGUAGCUCCCUUUAAAUAAAUACUCAUCUAACAUUGAUGAAGUUUCAGGUUUUAUCAACCUUUGCUGGACUCCCAUGGUUGCCCAUAUCUAAUGGGACUGGGUCAUGUUUUCCAUCACCUAGAAUUUUGGGGCUUAAUUUAAUUUUUAUAUCUAAUGGAUGACAGCUCUGAGUAAUUUAAGAUCGUUUAUAAGGUUAAAAAGAAAACCCUAAAGUUGGCAAAAUAGCAGAAGACAAGCAAACUAUAAUGAACAAUGUGGGAGGAAGAUCUCUUCAAGCUGACCAGAGACAAAGAUGGUUUGAAGGAAUAAGUAUUUUCUUUAUAAUGCACAGAAAGAAAAACAUGAGAUUAUGUAAAUAGAGGGUUGUAAAUUGUGGAGGUUUGGCCACAUCCAGUUUACAGAUGACUUUUUUGGCAGCACAGAGUUGUGAAAAAUUAUGACUGAGUGAUGUUGAGAUGGGCAUGUAUUUAUAAUCCUGGUGAGCAUCCUUCCUGCCCUCUACCUCCACCAGCCACUUGACCCUAUUAUCCUGCCACAGACCCUUCCCACCUUGAUCCGAACUUCCUGGGCACCAGGGCAUUUGAGUUUGGAUGUGAUACAAGUGUAAAUGAGAAGUUUAGCCCAACUCUUUUCUGAGAGGCUUCAGUUAACAGUCAGCCCCCCAUAUACAUGGGUUCCACAUCCAUGGAUUCAGUGAACCUUGGAACCAAAAUAAUCAGAAAAAAAAAAAAAAA
RNAcentral lists this long non-coding RNA (2326 nucleotides) under Sus scrofa (pig). Its description in RNAcentral is "lncRNA (ENSSSCG00030042805.1)". The record is from RNAcentral. Lineage: Eukaryota; Metazoa; Chordata; Mammalia; Artiodactyla; Suidae.